Molecule: non-coding RNA, 2331 nt
Organism: Sesamum indicum (sesame)
Lineage: Eukaryota; Viridiplantae; Streptophyta; Magnoliopsida; Lamiales; Pedaliaceae
Source: RefSeq, a predicted model, not a curated record
UCGCAGCCGCUGCGGCCUCCAAUAAUUCCCAGCAGCAGCAACCACAUUCAGCUUCUUUGAGGUUCUUACAGCAACAACAGCCAUUGGGAAUUGGAGAGGCUUCAGCUGCCAGGGUGGGUAAUUACUUGCCCAUAGCUCAAGUACAGGGACACCACCUGAAUUUGCUCGCAUCUCUAUCUGGUCCUCCUCCUCAAUCAUCCGAACAACAAAGGGAUGGUGAUGCCAAUUGAACACCUUUGGAGAGCUUAGCUGUUGUCGUUUGUUAAUGAUGAUGCUGUUGUUUGGUCUCGCUAAUUAAUGAAUGCCUGUUGUCAAUAUUGCAUAUGAAUUUGUACCUCAAGUCCUCUUCAGUUGUGCUGCUUUCCGUUGGUUGGUUGCUUGUUGUGUUUUUUGAAGAGACAAGACAGACAACUCCGCUCCCCUAAUUACCACCUAGGGCUAGUCUUUGUAGAAUUAAGGUGCUUGCUUUUGUUAAUUGCAUUGUUGUGUUCGUGAUGCUGGUAUUGAUAAAUUCUAUAUCCAGUGUUUGUAUUUAGACUUCAGAGUGCUAUUUGUAGCUGUUGUUUGGUUGAUUGAAAUACUCCAAUUCGUGUAAGAUUGUUAGAAAAUAAAGGAAAUUGUUUCACAUUGUUAAUUUUUAGCCUAUUUCCUUGUGUUCUUUCCAUUUGCUAGUUCACUUUUCACGGUGUGAAACUUGUUCUAUUCGGGAAAGCCGGUUACGACGUGCUGCAGGUUCAUCAUUCAAGUUCAAUGCACACAGCCAGUUGUUUGUUCAGGAACAUAUCUGAAUAUAGAAGUAGAAAAAGAAAGAUGAUUCUUAACAGAUGGAAUGCUGCUGCCUUGACAUGAUUGAUUUAUGGAACUUCUCAAAUCUUGCCCAAGUUGAUUUAUGGAACUUCUCAAAUCUUGCCCAAGAUCUUACAAGUUACAAGUACUUCAAAUGGAGUCUCAUUUUUGCGUGGUGAGGAGCUGAGAUUCAAUUGUUUCAACCUUUCUGUUAUGCUGAUGCUGCUGCUACUGCUGCUGCGCGGAUCCAGGUGAAGGAUUUCCUGAAGCCAUUCCGCUUAUGUUAUCUGAACCAGUAAGGAAGUACAGUUUGGAAUUUUGGCAUUUUAAUGAGAUUUCAGACUCUAAGGCUCCAUCUGUAUUUCACAAUGAGAAGGAAAAAUAUAGAACAAGACCUUUGUUGUGUUUAUUCCAGAUAAGAGAUGAAGAACACAAGUGUACCUAUGACAAAAAAUGGCACUGUAAUUCAGACGAUACUUCAUUUCCAAAUUAGUAGGAGGUUUACUUGGAAGGCUCACUGGGUCAGAGAUUAACCAUAGUGCCAAAUUUGAGUUGGUUAAAGUUGCAUGUUGCGUAACUGAAUCGUGUCCUAUCCAUUUUUUUCUCUUUGCUGGUAUUUUGAUGGAUCUAUUUGUUCAGGCUUUACAUCUGCUUAUUGCUAUUCUGAAGAUCUUCUAAUGUUUCUGGUAACAGGAAUCAGUGAGGGAUACAAAGUUAUGUAUCUUGCUGGCGAACCUCGUUCCACAUAAUACAAUUCAGCAACCAGCCAGUAUGCAAGAUCUCAGCAGCAUGAAUGAGAUUUCAGUUGGAGAAAAGAAAGGAUAAGAUGUAAAAAGCUAAAGAAUCUCCUAUACUUACUGAACUUUGCCCAGGAAAAUCCGUGUUUCAUGAAGACUUGGACAUGAUGACAAGAAAAUUUCUCAGCAAAAUAAGCACGCUAGUAGCACAAUCAUGGAUGACUCUAUCUAGAAGGAUAACCCCUGGACUGAGAACUAGAAAUACUUGCAGUAUCCUAAAAAUCCUGUUUUCUUGAAGUUGCUGAAGAAACUGUCGGCUCCCUCUUUCAAAUAGGGAUAGAACCUUGAUUACUGCAUCAUUCUGGGCCUUUGGCCUCAACAGCAGCAAUGAGCUUUAUCAAUCGUCGUGGAGGUUUUCGUUGCAGAGAGGGACUAGGAGAUGGAAACCUUCCAGAACAAGCGGUUGAAUCUUUCUUACCGUUGACUGACAGAAACUGGAGUCCUGUUCUUGCAAGUUUUCUAUGAUGCAUUAGAGUAACAAAUUACAAUCCAUUCACUGAUUGACCCAGCUUCAGGGGCAAAAAUGCAAAGAGAAAAUUUUAGAAGUGUCGCAUGCUAUUGCUUGCUGAUGAUUCCCCACGACGGCUGAUUCUUGUUUCCAAAUUUAGUUGCAGAGUCACGACGGCAUACAAAAGAUUAGGACCAGUGGGUCUGAAUAUGGCUGCUUUAUUGAACUGGAUUUUAUGUUUAUUAAACCUGGUAUUGCCCCUUCAUCUAUAGUUUGUCUUAAAGAAUAAUAGUGCUAAAA